CGAGCGGAAAGGCCCCUUCGGGGGUACUCGAGCGGCGAACGGGUGAGUAACACGUGAGUAACCUGCCCUUGACUUCGGGAUAAGCCUGGGAAACUGGGUCUAAUACCGGAUACGACCAUCCUGGGCAUCUGGGGUGGUGGAAAGUUUUUCGGUUGGGGAUGGGCUCGCGGCCUAUCAGCUUGUUGGUGGGGUGAUGGCCUACCAAGGCUUCGACGGGUAACCGGCCUGAGAGGGCGACCGGUCACACUGGGACUGAGACACGGCCCAGACUCCUACGGGAGGCAGCAGUGGGGAAUAUUGCGCAAUGGGCGGAAGCCUGACGCAGCGACGCCGCGUGGGGGAUGACGGCCUUCGGGUUGUAAACCUCUUUCAGCAGGGACGAAGCGUAAGUGACGGUACCUGUAGAAGAAGCGCCGGCUAACUACGUGCCAGCACCGG
RNAcentral lists this ribosomal RNA (438 nucleotides) under Actinomadura sp. YN-7-10. RNAcentral's name for it is "bacterial SSU rRNA". It matches the Rfam family "Bacterial small subunit ribosomal RNA", at positions 63 to 517 of the family's 1533-position model. Lineage: Bacteria; Bacillati; Actinomycetota; Actinomycetes; Streptosporangiales; Thermomonosporaceae. The record is from RNAcentral.